This 373-nucleotide ribosomal RNA is filed under the name uncultured organism. RNAcentral's name for it is "partial 16S ribosomal RNA". It matches the Rfam family "Bacterial small subunit ribosomal RNA", at positions 527 to 896 of the family's 1533-position model. The record is from RNAcentral.
GUAGGUGGCAAGCGUUGUCCGGAAUUAUUGGGCGUAAAGCGCGCGCAGGCGGUUCUUUAAGUCUGGUGUGAAAGCCCACGGCUCAACCGUGGAGGGUCAUUGGAAACUGGAGAACUUGAGUACAGAAGAGGAAAGCGGAAUUCCACGUGUAGCGGUGAAAUGCGUAGAGAUGUGGAGGAACACCAGUGGCGAAGGCGGCUUUCUGGUCUGUAACUGACGCUGAGGCGCGAAAGCGUGGGGAGCAAACAGGAUUAGAUACCCUGGUAGUCCACGCCGUAAACGAUGAGUGCUAAGUGUUAGGGGGUUUCCCGCCCCCUUAGUGCUGCAGCUAACGCAUUAAGCACUCCGCCUGGGGAGUACGGCCGCAAGGCUG